This 96-nucleotide non-coding RNA is filed under the name Bacillus massilinigeriensis. Its description in RNAcentral is "Purine riboswitch". It matches the Rfam family "Purine riboswitch aptamer". Rfam says of the family: Riboswitches are metabolite binding domains within certain messenger RNAs that serve as precision sensors for their corresponding targets. Allosteric rearrangement of mRNA structure is mediated by ligand binding, and this results in modulation of gene expression. The record is from RNAcentral. Lineage: Bacteria; Bacillati; Bacillota; Bacilli; Caryophanales; Bacillaceae.
AAUAUAAAUAGAUUUCCUUCAUAUAUCCUCGAUAAUAUGGAUCGAGAGUCUCUACCAGGUCGCCGUAAAUGAUUUGACUAUGAAGGCAGUUGAUUC